CCUACGGGAGGCAGCAGUAGGGAAUAUUGCUCAAUGGGCGAAACCCUGAAGCAGCAACGCCGCGUGGAGGAUGAAGGUCUUCGGAUUGUAAACUCCUUUUGUUAGAGAAGAUAAUGACGGUAUCUAACGAAUAAGCACCGGCUAACUCCGUGCCAGCAGCCGCGGUAAUACGGAGGGUGCAAGCGUUACGCGGAAUCACUGGGCGUAAAGAGCGCGUAGGCGGGAUAGCAAGUCAGAUGUGAAAUCCUAUGGCUUAACCAUAGAACUGCAUUUGAAACUGUUAUUCUAGAGUGUGGGAGAGGUAGGUGGAAUGCUUGGUGUAGGGGUAAAAUCCGUAGAGAUCACGAGGAAUACUCAUUGCGAAGGCGACCUGCUAGAACAUAACUGACGCUGAUGCGCGAAAGCGUGGGGAGCAAACAGGAUUAGAUACCCUAGUAGUC
This 440-nucleotide ribosomal RNA is filed under the name uncultured bacterium. Its description in RNAcentral is "partial 16S ribosomal RNA". It matches the Rfam family "Bacterial small subunit ribosomal RNA", at positions 338 to 795 of the family's 1533-position model. The record is from RNAcentral.